AACGAACGCUGGCGGCAUGCCUAAUACAUGCAAGUCGAACGAGAUCUUCGGAUCUAGUGGCGCACGGGUGCGUAACGCGUGGGAAUCUGCCCUUGGGUUCGGAAUAACGUCGGGAAACUGACGCUAAUACCGGAUGAUGACGUAAGUCCAAAGAUUUAUCGCCCAAGGAUGAGCCCGCGUAGGAUUAGCUAGUAGGUAAGGUAAAGGCUUACCAAGGCGACGAUCCUUAGCUGGUCUGAGAGGAUGAUCAGCCACACUGGGACUGAGACACGGCCCAGACUCCUACGGGAGGCAGCAGUAGGGAAUAUUGGACAAUGGGGGCAACCCUGAUCCAGCAAUGCCGCGUGAGUGAUGAAGGCCUUAGGGUUGUAAAGCUCUUUUACCCGGGAUGAUAAUGACAGUACCGGGAGAAUAAGCCCCGGCUAACUCCGUGCCAGCCGCCGCAGUAA
RNAcentral lists this ribosomal RNA (449 nucleotides) under uncultured bacterium. Its description in RNAcentral is "partial 16S ribosomal RNA". It matches the Rfam family "Bacterial small subunit ribosomal RNA", at positions 29 to 523 of the family's 1533-position model. The record is from RNAcentral.